Molecule: ribosomal RNA, 482 nt
Filed under: uncultured bacterium
Lineage: Bacteria
Description: bacterial SSU rRNA
Rfam family: Bacterial small subunit ribosomal RNA
Source: RNAcentral
GCGGCGUGCUUAACACAUGCAAGUCGAACGGAGAUAGGAGAGCUUGCCUCUUCCGAAUCUUAGUGGCGGACGGGUGAGUAACGCGUGAGCAACCUGCCUUUCAGAGGGGACAACGUUUGGAAACGAACGCUAAUACCGCAUAAGAUCGUAGGGCCACAUGGUCCAGUCGACCAAAGGAGCAAAUUCCGCUGAAAGAUGGGCUCGCGUCUGAUUAGAUAGUUGGUGGGGUAACGGCCUACCAAGUCGACGAUCAGUAGCCGGACUGAGAGGUUGAACGGCCACGAUUGGGACUGAGAUACGGCCCAGACUCCUACGGGAGGCAGCAGUGGGGAAUAUUGCACAAUGGGGGAAACCCUGAUGCAGCAACGCCGCGUGAAGGAUGACGGUUUUCGGAUUGUAAACUUCUGUUCUCGUUGACGAAGACGAGUGGACGGUAAACGAGGAGCAAGCCACGGCUAACUACGUGCCAGCAGCCGCGGUAA